This 253-nucleotide ribosomal RNA is filed under the name uncultured bacterium. Its description in RNAcentral is "partial 16S ribosomal RNA". It matches the Rfam family "Bacterial small subunit ribosomal RNA", at positions 524 to 776 of the family's 1533-position model. The record is from RNAcentral.
UACGUAGGGGGCGAGCGUUGUCCGGAUUUAUUGGGCGUAAAGGGCGUGUAGGCGGCCGUUUAAGUCGGAGGUGAAAACCCAGGGCUCAACCCUGGGACUGCCUCCGAAACUGGAUGGCUUGAGUGCUCUAGAGGGCAGUGGAAUGGCCGGUGUAGCAGUGAAAUGCGUAGAGAUCGGUCGGAACACCAGUGGCGAAGGCGACUGCCUGGGGAGUAACUGACGCUGAGGCGCGAAAGCUGGGGGAGCAAACGGG